Molecule: ribosomal RNA, 445 nt
Filed under: uncultured bacterium
Lineage: Bacteria
Description: bacterial SSU rRNA
Rfam family: Bacterial small subunit ribosomal RNA
Source: RNAcentral
ACCAGACUCCUACGGGAGGCAGCAGUGGGGAAUAUUGCACAAUGGGGGGAACCCUGAUGCAGCGACGCCGCGUGAGCGAAGAAGUAUCUCGGUAUGUAAAGCUCUAUCAGCAGGGAAGAAAAUGACGGUACCUGACUAAGAAGCUCCGGCUAAAUACGUGCCAGCAGCCGCGGUAAUACGUAUGGAGCAAGCGUUAUCCGGAUUUACUGGGUGUAAAGGGUGCGCAGGUGGCAGGGCAAGUCAGAUGUGAAAGCCCGGGGCUCAACCCCGGUAUUGCAUUUGAAACUGUCCGGCUAGAGUGCAGGAGAGGUAAGCGGAAUUCCUAGUGUAGCGGUGAAAUGCGUAGAUAUUAGGAGGAACACCAGUGGCGAAGGCGGCUUACUGGACUGUAACUGACGUUGAGGCUCGAAAGCGUGGGGAGCAAACAGGAUUAGAUACCCGCGUA